ACCGAGGUAGUGUAAUUGGCAACACACAGGACUUUGGAUCCUGUAGUGAAGGUUCGAGCCCUUCCCUCGGUG
This 72-nucleotide transfer RNA is filed under the name Candidatus Spechtbacteria bacterium RIFCSPLOWO2_02_FULL_38_8. Its description in RNAcentral is "tRNA-Gln". It matches the Rfam family "tRNA". From Rfam's summary of the family: Transfer RNA (tRNA) molecules are approximately 80 nucleotides in length. Their secondary structure includes four short double-helical elements and three loops (D, anti-codon, and T loops). The record is from RNAcentral. Lineage: Bacteria; Candidatus Spechtiibacteriota.